Molecule: long non-coding RNA, 1508 nt
Organism: Ictalurus punctatus (channel catfish)
Lineage: Eukaryota; Metazoa; Chordata; Actinopteri; Siluriformes; Ictaluridae
Exons: 3
Source: RefSeq, a predicted model, not a curated record
UCCAAUUUAUUCUUUUCCUACUUUGGUCUGGUUUGAGGAGACAUUGGAAAACUUGGGGAGCUCUUUCCUUUUUUUAAUUGAAUUUUUUUGGUGACGCUUGUUGGACGAAUCGAAUUCAGUGGAACCGGCACCGUGUUUUACGUUUCUAUUCUGUCUAAAGAUCCCCCGUGAAUUAUGUCUAAAUGCUGCGGAAACGAUGAGCUUUAUUUCAUCAGAGUUUUCUGUAUACAGGGAAGAUCUGUGAUGUCCAAUGUGUAAAAAUUUGUGUAAAUGAAAGAAGAAAAAGAAAGAAACAUGACUCUAAACAUAAACAUCAAACACAAAGAAGAAGCUUAUACAGAAAGCAGAAGAAAAUCCUGACAGUGAGAACAAACUCACAACAUGAUUGGAUGAAUUCUCAGCUAGACCCUGAAACCGACGCGAUGACGAGUUCACACUGAUGAUGGAGUGAAACUGUCAGUGGAGGAGACGGAACCAGCACGGACCCAGAGCUCAGUGCGACCGUUCCACUCCGACUACGACACCUACGACCUACGAGAUUCUGAUGAAGAGGCAGAGGAGGCAGAAGAUGCAGAUGAGGCAGAGGAGGUUUCCCAGCUGGAAAAUAUUCUACAGCUUUCUGUGCGUGAAGAAGAAAGAGGAAACCUUCUUGCCAGGUCUUUGGAUGAGUCUUCGGAGGUCAACAACUAUACAGAUGGUGGAGUGAAACUGUCAGUGGAGGAGACGGAACCAGAAUGGACCCAGAGCUCAGUGCGACCGUUCUACUCCGACUACGACACCUACGACCUACGAGAUUCUGAUGAAGAGGCAGAGUGAUCUAACUCUAAACAUGGACCGUGACUACGACUACGAUACGAACUAAACUAACUCUAUGAUAAUCUGCCGCGUUGUGUGCUGGGAGGCGCGCGUUAUAUAUGUGGACAUGAUCAGUGUCUAAACCGCUAGCAGCUGAGAGCAAUACAGACACACGUGAAAUCCCAGCCAAUGGCAGAACAGGGAGGAGACAUGACAGAAACAUAAACAAAACACACAUGUCCAGAUGUCAUUACGGUCAACAAUGGAAAAGCAGGCACUCGCGCAUUCGCGCUUUGAGCACACUGCUUCAAGGGGGAGUCUUGACAGAACCCCCCCCCCCAAAGGCACUCCUCCCGGAGUGCCAUGAGUCCUCCCUUCUCAUUGGCGGCCCCGGGCCCCUGGGCUGAAUGUCCCAAGCAGAGCCAGGAAACCACACGGUGACGGAGCAGGGAAGCAGAGCGACCCCAUGUCACUAUGGUCAACAAUGGAAAAGCAGGCGCUCGCGCAUUUGCGCUUUGAGCACACUGCUUCACGGGGGAAUCAUGACACAGAGGAGGCAGAGCAUAAUAAUAAUAAUAAUAAUAAUAAUAAUAGCUAAUUAUACAGUAAAUGAUAAGUAAUGUAAUUUAUGUUAUAUAAAAAUAUGUAUUGUUUUUUGUGUAUUGUAUAUGCAUUUUUUGUAUCUAAAUAAAGACUGUUGAUAUAUGUCGUUA